AUUUUGAGGGACCGUAUUAGCUGUUUGAUUCCGAAUUGGCCUAUACUGAUGAAGAUGAAAGGGCAUAAUGAAAUUGCGCUUGCGUUACUUAUAGUUAUUUUGACUUCCACCUUGAGGGCAAGGUGGAUUUCAACCGUGGGGGAGUUGAUAGGGACUUCAACUCUGAUACGAGUCUCUUCUUUCCAAGACAUCAGUGUGCAGCCAACCACAGCUCUAUGCCGUCCCUCGCAGCGGCAGCCCGAAGUCUUCUCAAGCCCAACCCAUCAAGGAAGCAAAACCUAGAUACUAAAUCAGCCGCAUAGGAGGGAAGAUAGAUUGAUUAGCAUAUCAAUUUAAGAUAUUCCAUAUCUUUUAUUAUUUCAUCAAUUAUUCAUGUAAUCUUAUUUCAAGUAUUUUCUCCUAUAAAUAUAGGAGAUUGUUUAGCAUCAAAGCAUUGAGAAAUAAACUAAACGUUAUUCUCA
Molecule: non-coding RNA, 461 nt
Organism: Salvia hispanica
Lineage: Eukaryota; Viridiplantae; Streptophyta; Magnoliopsida; Lamiales; Lamiaceae
Source: RefSeq, a predicted model, not a curated record